Molecule: long non-coding RNA, 642 nt
Filed under: Olea europaea (common olive)
Lineage: Eukaryota; Viridiplantae; Streptophyta; Magnoliopsida; Lamiales; Oleaceae
Description: long non-coding RNA (OEUR_LNC012969)
Source: RNAcentral
GUGAGUAUUAAGCUCUGAAUCUUAGUGUGUGUGUGUGUAGUCCUGGAAUCCUAUACCUAGUUAUCUAAUAAAUGCACUAUCUGAUCAUCAAUCUAUUUAGCAGAGAUGAAAAUCAUAUGCCCUUAGUGAUCCUUCGAAUUUUACAGUUAUGCUUCAAUUAGUUUGAUUGAAAGUUUGAUAGAUGAUAAGGUGGCAUGCAUUUUGACUCUUAAUUUGAAUGGAUGAAAUUCAAAUCAAGGGUCAAAAUGCAUUCCACUUCAUCAAACAUCAUCUGUACAAGUAGCUUAUUUACAAAUUUUAUUUCAUCUCGCCCUCAUUUGCUCACAAAGCUGUCCAUUGUCGGGUUUCGAGUUUUCACAAACUUUUGGACACUGACUCAUUUGUUUUGGCCCUGUCAUUACUCGGAGAAACUCUGAUGGCUCUGUCUUUACUCAGAGAAACUCAAACACCUCAACACUAACAUGAAGAAUUCCUUUGUUCAUCUUGUCAAUGGCCAUUAAACUGACAAUCCAUGGUCUUUCUUAAAUUCACGUUUGACAGAAACUCUUCUAAUUUAUGUUCUCGACUAUAGUUUUGGUGAUUGUUGAAGAUGGCCGAGUUAAUUUCUUCCUCGCGCUCACCAAGCAAGAUCUGAAAUGAAUG